CAGCAGCCGCGGUAAUACCGGCGGCCCGAGUGGCGGUCACUAUUAUUGGGCUUAAAGCGUCCGUAGCCGGGUUGGGAAGUCCUCCGGGAAAUCUGGCCGCUUAAAGGUCAGAAUGCCGGAGGAUACUCCCAGCCUAGGGAGCGGGAGAGGCCGAGGGUAUUCCCGGAGUAGGGGGGAAAUCCUAUAAUCCCGGGAGGACCACCUGUGGCGAAGGCGCUCGGCUGGAACGCGUCCGACGGUGAGGGACGAAGGCCAGGGGAGCAAACCGGAUUAGAUACCCGGGUAGUCCUGGCUGUAAACGAUGCGGACUUUGUGUCGGACAAGCUAUGAGCUUGUCCGGUGCCGGAGGGAAACCGUUAAGUCCGCCGCCUGGGGAGUACGGCCGCAAGGCUGAAACUUAAAGGAAUUGGCGGG
This 414-nucleotide ribosomal RNA is filed under the name uncultured microorganism. Its description in RNAcentral is "bacterial SSU rRNA". It matches the Rfam family "Archaeal small subunit ribosomal RNA", at positions 459 to 872 of the family's 1478-position model. The record is from RNAcentral.